This 1517-nucleotide ribosomal RNA is filed under the name Corynebacterium diphtheriae. RNAcentral's name for it is "bacterial SSU rRNA". It matches the Rfam family "Bacterial small subunit ribosomal RNA". Lineage: Bacteria; Bacillati; Actinomycetota; Actinomycetes; Mycobacteriales; Corynebacteriaceae. The record is from RNAcentral.
UUUAUGGAGAGUUUGAUCCUGGCUCAGGACGAACGCUGGCGGCGUGCUUAACACAUGCAAGUCGAACGGAAAGGCCUAGCUUGCUAGGUACUCGAGUGGCGAACGGGUGAGUAACACGUGGGUGAUCUGCCUCGUACUUCGGGAUAAGCCUGGGAAACUGGGUCUAAUACUGGAUAGGACCAUGCUUUAGUGUGUGUGGUGGAAAGUUUUUUCGGUACGAGAUGAGCCCGCGGCCUAUCAGCUUGUUGGUGGGGUAAUGGCCUACCAAGGCGUCGACGGGUAGCCGGCCUGAGAGGGUGGACGGCCACAUUGGGACUGAGAUACGGCCCAGACUCCUACGGGAGGCAGCAGUGGGGAAUAUUGCACAAUGGGCGCAAGCCUGAUGCAGCGACGCCGCGUGGGGGAUGACGGCCUUCGGGUUGUAAACCUCUUUCGCUAGGGACGAAGCUUUUUGUGACGGUACCUAGAUAAGAAGCACCGGCUAACUACGUGCCAGCAGCCGCGGUAAUACGUAGGGUGCGAGCGUUGUCCGGAAUUAUUGGGCGUAAAGAGCUCGUAGGUGGUUUGUCGCGUCGUCUGUGAAAUUCCGGGCUUAACUUCGGGCGUGCAGGCGAUACGGGCAUAACUUGAGUGCUGUAGGGAGACUGGAAUUCCUGGUGUAGCGGUGGAAUGCGCAGAUAUCAGGAGGAACACCGAUGGCGAAGGCAGGUCUCUGGGCAGUAACUGACGCUGAGGAGCGAAAGCAUGGGGAGCGAACAGGAUUAGAUACCCUGGUAGUCCAUGCCGUAAACGGUGGCGCUAGGUGUGAGGGUCUUCCACGACUUUCGUGCCGUAGCUAACGCAUUAAGCGCCCCGCCUGGGGAGUACGGCCGCAAGGCUAAAACUCAAAGGAAUUGACGGGGGCCCGCACAAGCGGCGGAGCAUGUGGAUUAAUUCGAUGCAACGCGAAGAACCUUACCUGGGCUUGACAUAUGCAGGAUCGGCGUAGUGAUACGUUUUCCCUUGUGGUCUGUAUACAGGUGGUGCAUGGUUGUCGUCAGCUCGUGUCGUGAGAUGUUGGGUUAAGUCCCGCAACGAGCGCAACCCUUGUCUUAUGUUGCCAGCACGUGAUGGUGGGGACUCAUGAGAGACUGCCGGGGUUAACUCGGAGGAAGGUGGGGAUGACGUCAAAUCAUCAUGCCCCUUAUGUCCAGGGCUUCACACAUGCUACAAUGGUCGGUACAACGCGCUGCGAGCCUGUGAGGGUGAGCGAAUCGCUGAAAGCCGGCCUCAGUUCGGAUUGGGGUCUGCAACUCGACCCCAUGAAGUCGGAGUCGCUAGUAAUCGCAGAUCAGCAACGCUGCGGUGAAUACGUUCCCGGGCCUUGUACACACCGCCCGUCACGUCAUGAAAGUUGGUAACACCCGAAGCCAGUGGCCUAACCCUUGUGGGGGGAGCUGUCGAAGGUGGGAUCGGCGAUUGGGACGAAGUCGUAACAAGGUAGCCGUACCGGAAGGUGCGGCUGGAUCACCUCCUUU